CCUACGGGAGGCAGCAGUGGGGGAUAUUGCACAAUGGGGGAAACCCUGAUGCAGCGACGCCGCGUGGGUGAAGAAGCGCCUCGGCGCGUAAAGCCCUGUCAGCAGGGAAGAAAAUGACGGUACCUGAAGAAGAAGCCCCGGCUAACUACGUGCCAGCAGCCGCGGUAAUACGUAGGGGGCAAGCGUUAUCCGGAUUUACUGGUUGUAAAGGGGGCGCAGACGGCGAUGCAAGCCAGGGGUGAAAGCCCGGGGCGCAACCCAGGGACUGCUGUUGGAACUGCGUGGCUAGAGUGCAGGAGGGGCAGGGGGAAGUCCUGGUGUAGGGGGGAAAUGCGUAGAUAGCAGGAGGAACAACGGUGGCGAAGGCGACCUGCUGGACUGCAACUGACGUUGAGGAGCGAAAGCGUGGGGAGUAAACAGGAUUAGAUACCCGGGUAGUC
RNAcentral lists this ribosomal RNA (440 nucleotides) under uncultured bacterium. RNAcentral describes it as "partial 16S ribosomal RNA". It matches the Rfam family "Bacterial small subunit ribosomal RNA", at positions 338 to 795 of the family's 1533-position model. The record is from RNAcentral.